UGGAAUGUGUUCACCCCCACAUUUGAUGUCAUAGGAAAUACCUUGAUCUGGUUGACAUGAUAUCCAUAGAUUUAGAUAUCGAUAGUAGUAGUGAUAUUUUGAAAAUAGAUUUUGAUAUUGGUGGCAGUACGGAACUGAUGGGGAUUACGAAUGACAACUCGUUACUCUUCUACACGGAGCUAAAAAAGAAGGAACCAAGGUUAACGGCAUAUGCAAUACAUGUUGUUGCCCACAUGCCGAGGACGGCUUCUUGUGAAUCCAAAAGAUAUAGCUAUGAUAUACUCAACAGCAUGUAAUGGAUUUGAGGUUGCAGCACCCAAUCAGGUUUUGAUGCUGAAAUCUGCUAAGGUUCCAACAAUGCAAGAUUCUACAGGCAACAUAGAAGUGAGGAUGAAAAUGAAGAAAGCUCCGAUGUUUUGUAACAAACAAGAGUAGAAUUCGUCACUGAAAAGUAGAUUUUCGUGAUAAAAAGUUGUUGAAGGACAGCCUUGGGUUGUAUUCUAUACAAAACAACUUCGAGUGCAUUUUUUACAAGUUCGAUGACUUCAAGUAAGUGCUAAAGUGUAAUAGAAAUGAACCAAGAUUAAU
This 588-nucleotide long non-coding RNA is filed under the name Olea europaea (common olive). RNAcentral describes it as "long non-coding RNA (OEUR_LNC011171)". Lineage: Eukaryota; Viridiplantae; Streptophyta; Magnoliopsida; Lamiales; Oleaceae. The record is from RNAcentral.